This 119-nucleotide ribosomal RNA is filed under the name Helianthus annuus (common sunflower). Lineage: Eukaryota; Viridiplantae; Streptophyta; Magnoliopsida; Asterales; Asteraceae. The record is from RNAcentral.
GGUUGCGAUCAUACCAGCACUAAUGCACCGGAUCCCAUCAGAACUACGCAGUUAAGCGUGCUUGGGCGAGAGUAGUACUAGGAUGGGUGACCCCCUGGGAAGUCCUCGUGUUGCAACCC